RNAcentral lists this transfer RNA (67 nucleotides) under Anolis calimae. RNAcentral's name for it is "tRNA-Tyr". The record is from RNAcentral. Lineage: Eukaryota; Metazoa; Chordata; Lepidosauria; Squamata; Anolidae.
GAUAAAGAAAGGGUCAAACCUCUGUAAAUAGGACUACAGCCUACUGCCUAUGCUCAGCCACUUUACC